UGGAGAGUUUGAUCCUGGCUCAGGAUGAACGCUGGCGGCGUGCUUAACACAUGCAAGUCGAGCGAUGAAGUUUCCUUCGGGAAACGGAUUAGCGGCGGACGGGUGAGUAACACGUGGGUAACCUGCCUCAUAGAGUGGAAUANCCUUUCGAAAGGAAGAUUAAUACCGCAUAAUGUUGAAAGAUGGCAUCAUCAUUCAACCAAAGGAGCAAUCCGCUAUAAGAUGGACCCGCGGCGCAUUAGCUAGUUGGUGGGGUAACGGCCUACCAAGGCGACGAUSGUAGCCGACCUGAGAGGUGAUCGGCCACAUUGGGACUGAGACACGGCCCAGACUCCUACGGGAGGCAGCAGUGGGGAAUAUUGCACAAUGGGGGAAACCCUGAUGCAGCAACGCCGCGUGAGUGAUGAAGGUUUUCGGAUCGUAAAGCUCUGUCUUUGGGGAAGAUAAUGACGGUACCCAAGGAGGAAGCCACGGCUAACUACGUGCCAGCAGCCGCGGUAAUACGUAGGUGGCAAGCGUUAUCCGGAUUUACUGGGCGUAAAGCGCACGCAGG
Molecule: ribosomal RNA, 553 nt
Filed under: uncultured bacterium 1A
Lineage: Bacteria
Description: bacterial SSU rRNA
Rfam family: Bacterial small subunit ribosomal RNA
Source: RNAcentral